RNAcentral lists this long non-coding RNA (1477 nucleotides) under Vigna radiata. Its description in RNAcentral is "long non-coding RNA (VRAD_LNC010948)". The record is from RNAcentral. Lineage: Eukaryota; Viridiplantae; Streptophyta; Magnoliopsida; Fabales; Fabaceae.
CACUUACCAAAACAUAUAAAAAAAUAUACUAUUACUAAUUAUUUACAAGUUUAACUAAUUUUAACUAAACUAAUCAAUUAAAUAAAAAAUAUGCAUUAGUAUAUACCUUCAUUCUCACUUUAACACGUUUCACAGCAUAUAAUAUUUAAUAACUUAACAUUGCAAUCCUAGACAAUAAUGACAGGCUAAUUCACAUGCUAAUUCAGAAUUCAAUCAUGACAUCCUUACCUUAAGUUCAUAUUAUAUUGUUUGUUCAAUCUGCGUAGCAAUAUUACCUUCAUCAGUUGUCCUAAUAUAUAUUACCUUCAUCAGUUGUCCUAAUUUUAGAAUUUAAAAAUAAUUUCAAAUAAUACUAAUUUACCCUACGCACAUUACAUCCUUAUAUUUAACUUUCUAAAUUAGUACUUAAGCAACAUCACCAAGUCUUGGAAAGUCUAUAAUUCAUUCUCUCAAGUGCCAAGAGAAUUCUUCAAAGUGUCAAAUCCAAAUCUCAACAGAGUCACCAAACUCAUUCAGUCCCCUGCCAUUUCGAAUAGCUAUCCUCAUCUUGAGAGUAAAUAAAAAUAAAAUGUUCCAAAAAAAGUCACAACCCUACAGUAAGUCACACCAGUUAAUAAAAUUUAAAACAAAAAUGGACAAAAAAAAAAAAGGAGAGGAUGGGAAAGGGGUAGUAGCAGUGGAUCCGUAAUUACCUGUCUCAAAAGCACUUAGCAUUACUUUCUUUCUUAUAUAUCAAAUAACAAUCAGAGCAAAAUCCAUUUAGAAGAGUAUGAAGUUGUCAGAAAAUUGAAGUAAAAUGACAACCACCGGUAUAAAACUAUUAAACAGGGAAUCAAAUUCAACAAAUUGGGCGAGAGGUGUGGUUAGGGAUUGAACGGGACAAAAUGUUCAACAAAAACUUCAAACCACAUUAAACUUUAUUACGAAAAACAACCAAAUAACACUACAACCCCUAAAUGCCCUAAAAAAUUUUAAAAAAAUAAAACCCACCGAACAAAAACUAUUCAUUACCGAAACGAACGGCGGCAACCUUGAAAAACAACCUCCAAUAGCUGUUUUUGAGUUUGUUUGCUCCUAAUGGUGAACGACGGUGCCUAUGCAGAUUCGGUCAACGGCGAUCCUCCGGCCAACAGCAAACUCCUUCAACGGCGACGAAACUUGUGGGUGAAGCCGCUUCUGGGUGAGUGCGACGGAGGACGAAAAUGCUUCUGGGUGAGAGGGUUCGCGAUGGGUGAAAGGGCUUCCUUUUACUUUUUUUUUUCAAAACCACCGAAUGAGACCUAUGAAACCAAAAACCAUCGCCUGUAUUCUAUUUUCACCUUAUUUUCUUUUUUUAAAAAACAAUUCACCUUGUCGAAUGACAGCGUGACACGUGUCUGAUGUAAAAGUUUAUUAUUUUUAGAUGUGAAAAUAUUAUUAUUCAAAUAGAAAUGUAUCACACUUUAUUUUCAAUAGGUUUAAUAUAAAUUAAAAAAAC